RNAcentral lists this transfer RNA (75 nucleotides) under Candidatus Kerfeldbacteria bacterium. RNAcentral describes it as "tRNA-Gln". It matches the Rfam family "tRNA". From Rfam's summary of the family: Transfer RNA (tRNA) molecules are approximately 80 nucleotides in length. Their secondary structure includes four short double-helical elements and three loops (D, anti-codon, and T loops). Further hydrogen bonds mediate the characteristic L-shaped molecular structure. tRNAs have two regions of fundamental functional importance: the anti-codon, which is responsible for specific mRNA codon recognition, and the 3' end, to which the tRNAs corresponding amino acid is attached (by aminoacyl-tRNA synthetases). tRNAs cope with the degeneracy of the genetic code in two manners: having more than one tRNA (with a specific anti-codon) for a particular amino acid; and 'wobble' base-pairing, i.e. permitting non-standard base-pairing at the 3rd anti-codon position. The record is from RNAcentral. Lineage: Bacteria; Candidatus Kerfeldiibacteriota.
UGGGGCGUAGCCAAGUGGUAAGGCAGCGGCCUUUGGCGCCGCCAUUCGUAGGUUCGAACCCUACCGCCCCAGCCA